Molecule: long non-coding RNA, 1336 nt
Organism: Bactrocera latifrons
Lineage: Eukaryota; Metazoa; Arthropoda; Insecta; Diptera; Tephritidae
Exons: 2
Source: RefSeq, a predicted model, not a curated record
CAGUUAUCGAUAAUAACUUCCAUUUCUAAUGAACAUAUGUUUCUUGCAAUGCAAUUUUCGUGAAUGCUGCGCAACGAUUGACCAUCGAACAAGAAAUAGCAAACAAAAUUGCGUUAUGGCUCCACAUAGAAAAUGUACUUUCAACAAUAAUAAAAGUACGCGUUUAUAAAAAAAGGCUGCACAUGAGAAURAAGUGAAAUGUUUGAAAUGCAGUGUUGUUUUUUCGAUUGCUAAUGGUGGUAAAUGUGAUAUUGAACGCCAUUUGAUAUCGCAAAAAUAUCGUAAGGCUGAUUUUGAAGCUUCAACCAGCCAAAGCCAAAAAAAUCUUUUUCAUAAGCUUAAAGAAUCUACCGGUAAUAUGCUUAUUGGAAUAAAUUGUGCUACGCACAUUAUUAAUAAUUGUAUUCAAGCCUCAAUAGAUUGUCUGCCGAUAGAUAUUGAAGUAGUUGUAAUUAAAAUUUUUUCGUACUUCUACAUACAUAUGUAUAUACAGUUAGAGUUGAAAAUUUAAAGCAAAUAUGUGACGCAGUUGAUGUUGAAUACAAAAGAUUACUUGGAUUUAGUAAAACCCGAUGGCUUACUUUAUAAACCAUUGAAGGAAUAUGUUUUCAACAACCCGAAUGCCCGACUAUUUUAUACAAUUUUUUUUGGAGAUCCUGCAUCCGAAGCGUGGCUUUUUUUUUGCACAUUUUCAAGCAUCUCUUUUUCACACUUAUAUUCUUCAAAUUGAGUCCCAGAAAAUCUUUAUGAUAGAAGUGGCCUUACUUAUUAAAGAACUCAAAUUUAAAAUAACCAAACGCAAUGAUGAAAUUUUUAUACAUCUAGUUGUAAGGAAUUUAAUUUCCGCGUUGGAUAAAACGGGAAUGAAAUGUGCAGAUGAAUUUAAUAGUAACUCGACAAAAUUUUAUAAUAAUUGCAUUGAUUAUUUAAAUCAGUGGGAUCAAGCCUUUAAAGACGUGGAAGUGAUGGAAUGGGUACAUCUGCGUAAAUUACCAUCUUGGAAUUCUGUGGAAAGAAAUUUAAUAUACGUCAUGGAAAUCAGAAAUAAAACUGAUGUAAAUGACGAUGAAUUAGUUGACGAGUUUUCUUUCGUUAAAAAUUAUUUGACUUCCGGUAAAUUAAACGAAUGGAAACCAGUGAAAAAACUGUAGUAGAUACAUAUAUGGGUUGAAAUACUUAUGCAUUUUAAAAAUAAUUCUAUACCUUUUAAAAAUAUUUUAAAAGUUGUUGAAUUUGCGUUGUGUUUGCCAGGCUCAAAUGCCCCAACCGAAAGAAUCUUUUCAAUCUUAAACAACGUGUGGACUGAUGAAAAAUCCCAGAUAUAAGUGGAAACUAU